CCGCCACAGGAACACACUGAGCCCGGUCUGUUCAACAGCGGAUGGGUGCCUCGGUUGGGUGCCUGAUUAGAAAUAUGGUUAAUUUUCAGCAAAAUCUGGCUUCCUCCUUGACAGCUAAAACAGAGCUAACACACAGUUGUGGGACGACCCCAACCGCUGAGUAACGGGUGAGACAGUUCGAGUUUUACUUGUACAUUCAUAGACAUACGGGAAGGUGCUGAAGAACAGGUGCAGGAGUCAAUGUUCGGUCACUGUCAGCAGGAAAAGACUUUGAAAAACUGCGAGAAUGCAAAAAAUUAUGGCAUAAUUGAAGAAAAUAUGCUAACCAACCAAAGACAGCUCAGAAUAGUUGCUAAUGACGGGGUUGCGACCGUUUGAAGGCCGGUAGGUUUUCUCAGUUCGCUCACCAUUGGCAGAUGUGGCAAAAACAAUGGACCCUGGACAGUGGGAUCGAUCAAGACUCGAUUAUCGGCAGAGUUAAUUCUUCAAGCACCUAUAGGAGAAUUAUGAAUGCGGCCUGGGUGAAGCUGAGUGGAGGAAAGACAGGUCAUUCUCACCUCCACACUGCAAGCAGUGACUGAUUGAAGCGUUAUGUGCCUAAUGCCACCCUGAACCAUCAGAGAAGACUGAACUAAACAACCGACUAAACUAAACUUCUGAACAAAAGCUCAGAUGCAAAAUAUCAUAGAUCUGAGCUCAAUAAUACCAUCAGAUACUGGGACAAGGCAGAGACAAAGUCUAGAGGAUUCAUUCAUUCAUAAUUUUAUUUGUUAAAUGAAUACAUUUAUUAUGUAUUAUCCCAGACUGCCAUAUAGUGAUGCAUCAUGACCCUAUACCACUUAAAGUACAUUUAAAGUACCCCUGUUAUGCCAUUUCCAGUAUUGCCUUUCAUGCAGCGUUUAAUGUAGCUGUAUGUGAAUGUAAAGUUGUAAAGCUGAAAAUGCACGAUAAAUAAAGUUGUUGUCACCCAAAAUAAAGAAUGGACUCUGAACAGCUGAAACGAGUCGUUAGGAAUUUGAAUCCCACUUCUGUGAUGGCUAUACCUCACUGGGUAACACAUUUGCAUAAUGCGUGCCUAUGUUCUACGUUGGCUGACCGCGAACAACUUGAUCCGCCCUCAAACAUGUCAUUCUACUGACGACUGCUUCUCUAAUCUCGGGGAGUUCAACGCAGGAUUCACAAAAUGCUUGCUGUUGAAAGAUGGAUCAGUAUCCAGUUUAUUGGGACCAGCUGUUCCACUGAAUCACAACCUGUAAGCAUGAUAAAUAAUAGAUGUUUAGAUGUUUAGAAAAAUACAGAACCAUUGAAAUAUGCACAUCGUUUCUGACACACGCUGUACACCGUAGACCAAUCACAACAAACUAAGACAUCUGACCAAUCAGAGCAGAGCAGGCUCAUGGAAAGGAGGGGUUUAGAGAGAUUGAAUCUUUGAACUGUUUCAAGCAAAUCGUUUGAGAAUCAUCGUUUUUUGACCUUGCAUGUAAUCCUAUUGUAGGAGACUCCCAAAACAAUAUUAGGAACCGUAAAAAUGGCACAAUAGGGGCACUUUAAAAAGAUAAGGAAUUAAAUUAGAAUAAAUAAUUAUCUAAAUUUGAAUAAUUGUUGAAAACAAAUAGAUUAGGUUAGAAAUUAGAAAGUGAACAAUAUACAGUAUAUAUAUAUUUUAAAUUAAUACAUCAAAUACUAUCAAGUAUCAAGAGUUUAUUUAGUCCACAAUACACCAAUCUGAUGUUCAAGUUAUUCAUACUUGUAGAUUUUAAAGACCUGGGUACUGUGAGAUCUCACUAUACUAUAAUAAGUGAAUUAAAAAUCAGCAUUUACAAACUGGCAUAUUACAGCAACACCUUCAUUUCAUUAUAAUGUGGUGUUUUAGAGAUAUUAUUACAAACAAACAAAAAUGAAGAAAAAUGGCAGAAAAAGAGGGUAGUUGACAGUCAGUGGAAUGGCGGGUAUGAAGUUGGGCCUCUUGGGCAGCACUGCUGAUACAGAGACUCCAUAGAUCCCUCUCUGAGCUUCAUUUGUUCAGCUCAUUAGAUAUUGAGCAAGUGGCAGAUUUGUGUGAUCGCCGAUAAAAUGGCUCCCCUACACUGUGAAAUGCCUGGGAGCAU
Molecule: long non-coding RNA, 2108 nt
Organism: Cyprinus carpio carpio
Lineage: Eukaryota; Metazoa; Chordata; Actinopteri; Cypriniformes; Cyprinidae
Source: Ensembl